Molecule: ribosomal RNA, 497 nt
Filed under: uncultured bacterium
Lineage: Bacteria
Description: partial 16S ribosomal RNA
Rfam family: Bacterial small subunit ribosomal RNA
Source: RNAcentral
GAUGAACGCUGGCGGCGUGCCUAAUACAUGCAAGUCGAGCGCACAGACGAGGAGCUUGCUCCUCUGACGUUAGCGGCGGACGGGUGAGUAACACGGGGAUAACCUACCUAUAAGACUGGGAUAACUUCGGGAAACCGGCUCUAACACCGUAUCAUAUAUUGAUCCACAUCGUUCAAUAGUGAAAUACGGUUUUGCUGUUACCUAUAGAUGGAUCCGCGCCGCAUUAGCUAGUUGGUAAGAUAACGGCUUACCAAGGCAACGAUGCGUAGCCGACCUGAGAGGGUGAUCGGCAACACUGGAACUGAGACACGGUCCAGAAUCCUACGGGAGGCAGCAGUAGGGAAUCUUCCGCAAGGGGCGAAAGCCUGACGGAGAACCGCCGCGUGAGUGAUGAAGGUCUCCGGAUCGUAAACCUCUGUGAUUAGGGAAGAACAAAUGUGUAAGUAAAUAUGCACGUCUUGACGGUACCUAAUCAGAAAGCCACGGCUAACUACGUG